UACAGAGGGUGCAAGCGUUAUUCGGAAUUACUGGGCGUAAAGCGCGCGUAGGCGGACUGUUAAGUCGGUUGUGAAAGCCCUGGGCUCAACCUAGGAACUGCAUCCGAUACUGGCAAUCUAGAGUUUAAGAGAGGGAAGUGGAAUUCCAGGUGUAGCAGUGAAAUGCGUAAAUAUCUGGAGGAACAUCAGUGGCGAAGGCGACUUCCUGGCUUAAAACUGACGCUGAGGUGCGAAAGCUUGGGUAGCGAACGGGAUUAGAUACCCCGGUAGUCCAAGCCGUAAACGAUGUCAACUAGCUGUUGGUCUUAUUAAAAAGAUUAGUAGCGUAGCUAACGCGAUAAGUUGACCGCCUGGGGAGUACGGUCGCAAGAUUAAA
This 376-nucleotide ribosomal RNA is filed under the name uncultured bacterium. RNAcentral's name for it is "bacterial SSU rRNA". It matches the Rfam family "Bacterial small subunit ribosomal RNA", at positions 524 to 898 of the family's 1533-position model. The record is from RNAcentral.